RNAcentral lists this ribosomal RNA (501 nucleotides) under uncultured bacterium. RNAcentral's name for it is "partial 16S ribosomal RNA". It matches the Rfam family "Bacterial small subunit ribosomal RNA", at positions 30 to 523 of the family's 1533-position model. The record is from RNAcentral.
AUUGAACGCUGGCGGAAUGCUUUACACAUGCAAGUCGAACGGCAGCACGGACUUCGGUCUGGUGGCGAGUGGCGAACGGGUGGGUAAUGUAUCGGAACGUGCCCAGUCGUGGGGGAUAACGUAGUGAAAGUUACGCUAAUACCGCAUACGAUCUGAGGAUGAAAGCGGGGGAUCGCAAGACCUCGCGCGAUUGGAGCGGCCGAUAUCAGAUUAGGGAGUUGGUGGGGUAAAGGCCCACCAAGCCGAAGAACUGUAGCCUGGUUUGAGAGGACGACCAGCCACACUGGGACUGAGACACGGCCCAGACUCCUACGGGAGGCAGCAGUGGGGAAUUUUGGACAAUGGGCGAAAGCCUGAUCCAGCAAUGCCGCGUGCAGGAAGAAGGCCUUCGGGUUGUAAACUGCUUUUGUACGGAACGAAAAGGUCUCUCUUAAUACGGGGGGCUCAUGACGGUACCGUAAGAAUAAGCACCGGCUAACUACGUGCCAGCCGCCGCGGUAA